Molecule: non-coding RNA, 176 nt
Filed under: Pullulanibacillus sp. KACC 23026
Lineage: Bacteria; Bacillati; Bacillota; Bacilli; Caryophanales; Sporolactobacillaceae
Description: 6S RNA
Rfam family: 6S / SsrS RNA
About the family: E. coli 6S RNA was the first non coding RNA to be sequenced, but its function was unknown until recently. It consists of 184 nucleotides that fold into an extended hairpin structure with a large single-stranded internal bulge.
Source: RNAcentral
UACAAGCUGCGAUGUGCGUUGCGUAUUGAUGUUUCAACCGAUGCAUUUAAUAAGGGAGCUCUACAUGUCGAGAAUGGCCAUCAUGCCUUAAUUGGACGAUGAAAGUUCUCAUGCGGGCACCCACCUGUUUCGAGCAGGUUCUGAAACACAAGCGUGACGGCAUAGGCGGCCGUUUA